Molecule: ribosomal RNA, 441 nt
Filed under: uncultured bacterium
Lineage: Bacteria
Description: partial 16S ribosomal RNA
Rfam family: Bacterial small subunit ribosomal RNA
Source: RNAcentral
CCUACGGGAGGCAGCAGUCGGGAAUAUUGCGCAAUGGAGGAAACUCUGACGCAGUGACGCCGCGUAUAGGAAGACGGUUUUCGGAUUGUAAACUCUUGUCGUUAGGGAAGAGAACGGACAGUACCUCAGGAGGCAGCUCCGGCUAACUACGUGCCAGCAGCCUCGGUAAUACGUAGGGAGCGAGCGUUAUCCGUAAUUAUUGGGUGUAAAGGGUGCGUAGACGGGAAUGCAAGUUAGUUGUGAACUCCCGCGGCUUAACUGAGGAACUGCAACUAAAACUACAUUUCUUGAGUGCAGGAGAGGUAAGUGGAAUUCCUAGUGUAGCGGUGAAAUGCGUAGAUAUUAGGAGGAACACCAGUGGCGAAGGCGACCUGCUGGAACAUUACUGACGCUGAUGCACGAAAGCGUGGGGAGCAAACAGGAUUAGAUACCCCCGUAGUC